UAGGGAAUCUUCGGCAAUGGACGAAAGUCUGACCGAGCAACGCCGCGUGAGGGAAGAAGGUUUUCGGAUCGUAAAACUCUGUUGUUAGAGAAGAACAAGGACGUUAGUAACUGAACGUCCCCUGACGGUAUCUAACCAGAAAGCCACGGCUAACUACGUGCCAGCAGCCGCGGUAAUACGUAGGUGGCAAGCGUUGUCCGGAUUUAUUGGGCGUAAAGCGAGCGCAGGCGUUUUCUUAAGUGUGAUGUGAAAGUCCCCGGCUCAAGCGGGGAGGGUUAGUGGAAGCUGGGAGACUUGAGUGGAGAAGAGGGGGGUGGAAUUCCGUGUGUAGCGGUAAAAUGCGUAGAUAUAAGGAGGAACACCAGUGGCGAAGGCGGCUCGCUGGACUACAACUGACGCUGAGGCUCGAAAGCGUGGGGAGCAAACAGG
Molecule: ribosomal RNA, 429 nt
Filed under: Gemmatimonadota bacterium
Lineage: Bacteria; Pseudomonadati; Gemmatimonadota
Description: Gemmatimonadetes bacterium partial 16S ribosomal RNA
Rfam family: Bacterial small subunit ribosomal RNA
Source: RNAcentral